UACGUAGGGGGCGAGCGUUGUCCGGAUUUACUGGGCGUAAAGGGUGAGUAGGCGGUAAUAUGUGUCAGAUGUAAAAGGCUAAGGCUUAACCAUAGUUAGCAUUUGAAACUGUAUUACUUGAGUGCAGGAGAGGUAAGUGGAAUUCCUAGUGUAGCGGUGAAAUGCGUAGAUAUUAGGAGGAACACCAGUGGCGAAGGCGACUUACUGGACUGUAACUGACGCUGAGUCACGAAAGCGUGGGUAGCAAACAGG
Molecule: ribosomal RNA, 252 nt
Filed under: uncultured bacterium
Lineage: Bacteria
Also listed under: 1 other name
Description: partial 16S ribosomal RNA
Rfam family: Bacterial small subunit ribosomal RNA
Source: RNAcentral